This 1053-nucleotide ribosomal RNA is filed under the name Triticum aestivum (bread wheat). RNAcentral's name for it is "partial small subunit ribosomal RNA". The record is from RNAcentral. Lineage: Eukaryota; Viridiplantae; Streptophyta; Magnoliopsida; Poales; Poaceae.
AUGGCUGAUGUUCAAGAGGAAAAUCCAGAGCUUGGAGAAUCUUGGUUUGUCAGAUGUUAUGUCAAUGGGUUAAGAGAGGGAAUAAAGUUCCAAAUCAGACCUCUGAGACCCCAAACACUAACAGAUGCCUAUUGGUUAGCUAGGGAUGUGGAACCCUGUCAUCCACCUGUGGCAAUUACUGCAAAAAGGACAAUUGUUCCUUACAACAAUUACUACCAGAAGAGCAAUACAAAUUAUCCCCCCAAGGUGAAUGUUGUUCCUGUUAUACAACAACAACAUCCUGCCAGACACACUGAACCUCCUGUCAGUAAUGUUCAGAAAAUCAGGAAAGUGGGAGAAUGCUGGAGAUGUGGUGACAAAUGGGUACAUGGUCAUAAAUGUAAAUUAGUACCCAAUGUCCAGGCAAUGCAACAGGAACAAGAGGAACAAGUCACUUAUGACAUUGAGGAACAACUGUUGGAGGAGCAAAUAGAACAAGUGACAGAAGCUGAUCAAGCUAUGUUCAUUUCUGCUUUUGCAAUGGGUCAGCAGCUUGCAGUCCCAACACCUAUAGUAAUUAUCCAUAUAAAUGGAAAAAGAGCAGUUGCACUGUUGGCUUCAGGUAGUACCACAUCAUUCAUAAAUCAAGACUUUGCAGUUAAAGCAAACUGCAACUUACUACCUGUCAAACCUAGAAGAAUUGCAGUUGCUGGGGGAGGCAUACUAACAUCUUCUGCAGUUGUCCCUAAUUGCCAGUUUCAGAUAUCUAAAAUGACACUUUCACACAGUUUUAGGACUCUGGCAUUACCUAGUCAUGAUGCAAUUUUGGGAUAUGUUUGGUUUACUGCAGUUAGCCCUGUUUCCUUUGACAUUCCUGCAAAACAGUUCAGUUUUACACAUGAAAGAAAGCAGACUGUAUCCACAGCAGUAUUCACUACUCCUGCUAGUCUGAAAGAGGUACCUGUUAAGAAAGUGAAAAAGCUGAUGGAUAAAGGACCUGAGAUCUUCUUGUGCCAAGUCAAUAACAUACUCAUGGAUGCACCAGAAGAUUUUAAAAUUCCCCCACAAAUAUAG